CCGCCCCUCCAUAGCAUUUGGCCACCGCCCCUCCCCUCAGGGGUGCCUCUAAGACUAAAAGUGGAAGCAAAGGCGUUUACCUUGCCUCCUAUCGAUGUUGACUGUCACCCGGGAAGGCCAAGAGGCGGCCCGGACUGUAUUUCCCACUAUCGGCCGCGCCUUCUGUUUUGAAAAUCCUUGCUUCCCGCCUCAGGCCUCGUCUACUGAAGCGGCCGCAUUGUCUUUGCCGGAGUCGAGGGCCUCGGGACGCGGGGCGAGGCGGGCCGGGCCUGGUGGAGCAAGCUAGGUGAGGCCGCCCCCGCGUCCUCGUCCUCUCCGGGGGCGGCUCCCCUUCCCCCCGCAGGGGGGCCGGCCUCGCGGAGGCGCGUCUAUCCCGGCGGACCCUCGGCCUCACCAGAUGACCGCCUGAGGGCCGUAAGAGACUUUUUGCAGGCAGGGAAACUGAGGCAGGCCUUUGCGACCUCUGUUUCCUCACCUGUGAAACGACGGGGUCGGAUUGGUCGCUCAGUGUUGGUGGCUAGCAGUCAAAGGAGGAGCGACUGGCUGAGGAGGAGGCCCGGGAGAAAGCUAAGAAGCUGGAGGAGGCCGAAGGGAGGUGGAAGAGGCUUCAGCAGCUCCAGGAGGAGGAAAAGCGGAGGUGCCAGGAGCAGCUGCGACGGAAGAAGAGGAGCGUCUGUGGAAGGUGGCUGAGGCCCGGAGAAUCAUGAAGCAGGAGAAGCAGCAGCUGGCCCUUGAGAGGGAGCCCGAGAAGCUGCAGGAAAAGUGGGAGCUGCAAGAGAAGAAGAGAUUACUGUGGCAA
Phascolarctos cinereus (koala) is the source of this 799-nucleotide long non-coding RNA. RefSeq lists it as uncharacterized. The record is from RefSeq and is a predicted model, not a curated record. Lineage: Eukaryota; Metazoa; Chordata; Mammalia; Diprotodontia; Phascolarctidae.